UCAUCUACUACUUUUUUUCUUUUCCUUUCUUUUCAAGAUGCUGCUAGAAUUUUUGCUUUUUAUUGAUGGAUGUCCCUUUUCGCACCAUUCAUUAGUGCAAGGUUUUGGGAUACGGCAAGUCUUUCUCAAAGGAUUGUAGCUCAACUAUUUCCGCACUAUUUGCUAACAAAUCCACCACUUGGUUAGCUUCUUAAUCUCUAUGCUUAAAUGGAUAGUGCAGGAAACUCGAG
RNAcentral lists this long non-coding RNA (230 nucleotides) under Elaeis guineensis (African oil palm). Its description in RNAcentral is "long non-coding RNA (EGUI_LNC028951)". The record is from RNAcentral. Lineage: Eukaryota; Viridiplantae; Streptophyta; Magnoliopsida; Arecales; Arecaceae.